AGAAUCAACGCUGGCGGCGUGCCUAACACAUGCAAGUCGCACGAGAAAGGGGAGCAAUCCCUGAGUAAAGUGGCGCACGGGUGAGUAACACGUGAAUAAUCUACCUUCGAGUGGGGAAUAACUGAGAGAAAUCUUAGCUAAUACCGCAUAACACUUACGAGUCAAAGCAGCAAUGCGCUUGGAGAGGAGUUCGCGGCCGAUUAGUUAGUUGGCGGGGUAAUGGCCCACCAAGACGAUGAUCGGUA
Molecule: ribosomal RNA, 245 nt
Filed under: uncultured bacterium
Lineage: Bacteria
Description: partial small subunit ribosomal RNA
Rfam family: Bacterial small subunit ribosomal RNA
Source: RNAcentral